RNAcentral lists this non-coding RNA (25 nucleotides) under Cricetulus griseus (Chinese hamster). The record is from RNAcentral. Lineage: Eukaryota; Metazoa; Chordata; Mammalia; Rodentia; Cricetidae.
AGUCAGGGCAGGAACUCAAGUAGGA